UACAGAGACUGCAAGCGUUAUUCGGAUUCACUGGGCGUAAAGGGUGCGCAGGCGGCCGAGUGUGUGAGGCGUGAAAGCCCGGGGCUUAACCCCGGAAUUGCACCUCAAACUACACGGCUAGAGCAUUGGAGAGGGUAGCAGAAUUCAUGGUGUAGCAGUGAAAUGCGUAGAUAUCAUGAGGAAUGCCAGAGGCGAAGGCGGCUACCUGGACAAUUGCUGACGCUCAGGCACGAAAGCGUGGGGAGCAAAAGGG
RNAcentral lists this ribosomal RNA (253 nucleotides) under uncultured bacterium. RNAcentral's name for it is "partial 16S ribosomal RNA". It matches the Rfam family "Bacterial small subunit ribosomal RNA", at positions 524 to 776 of the family's 1533-position model. The record is from RNAcentral.